RNAcentral lists this microRNA precursor (76 nucleotides) under Schistosoma mattheei. RNAcentral describes it as "mir-3492 microRNA precursor family". It matches the Rfam family "mir-3492 microRNA precursor family". The record is from Rfam by way of RNAcentral. Lineage: Eukaryota; Metazoa; Platyhelminthes; Trematoda; Strigeidida; Schistosomatidae.
AGCCUUCUGUAUCCGUGCUGAGAUUUCGUCACACACAAACCACAAGGGCUGAGAGACUUCAAAGGUAGGUGAAGCG